GACGAACGCUGGCGGCGUGCCUAAUACAUGCAAGUUGAGCGCUGAAGGUUGGUACUUGUACCAACUGGAUGAGCAGCGAACGGGUGAGUAACGCGUGGGGAAUCUGCCUUUGAGCGGGGGACAACAUUUGGAAACGAAUGCUAAUACCGCAUAAAAACUUUAAACACAAGUUUUAAGUUUGAAAGAUGCAAUUGCAUCACUCAAAGAUGAUUCCGCGUUGUAUUAGCUAGUUGGUGAGGUAAAGGCUCACCAAGGCGAUGAUACAUAGCCGACCUGAGAGGGUGAUCGGCCACAUUGGGACUGAGACACGGCCCAAACUCCUACGGGAGGCAGCAGUAGGGAAUCUUCGGCAAUAGACGAAAGUCUGACCGAGCAACGCCGCGUGAGUGAAGAAGGUUGUCGGAUCGUAAAACUCUGUUGGUAGAGAAGAACGUUGGUGAGAGUGGAAAGCUCAUCAAGUGACGGUAACUACCCAGAAAGGGACGGCUAACUACGUG
Molecule: ribosomal RNA, 497 nt
Filed under: uncultured bacterium
Lineage: Bacteria
Description: partial 16S ribosomal RNA
Rfam family: Bacterial small subunit ribosomal RNA
Source: RNAcentral